This is a long non-coding RNA of Gasterosteus aculeatus aculeatus (three-spined stickleback), 3306 nucleotides long. NCBI's taxonomy places the organism in Eukaryota, Metazoa, Chordata, Actinopteri, Perciformes, Gasterosteidae. The record is from Ensembl.
CACACACACACACACACUUACACAGAAGCCCUCCACACACACACACACACACUUACACAGAAGCCCUCCACACACACACAAAGACGUUAUGCCUUUAAUCAGGAUCAGAUUUCAAAGUGCCUACAUGUUUUGGGGCAACAGGGACGAGCCCCAAAUAGCCGAUUAUUAUUAUUAAGUCUUUGUCCUGUUUGCCAAAGUCUGUCCGUGUGUCUCGUCCCAAAGCAUCUGACCACCAAUACCUCAAAUGUGACAUCUGCAAGGUGGCACUCGCGUUCUCAGAGAAGACGUCUCUCGGGAGUAUGCAAAAACGCCCCAAAACCCUCGCUUGUGAGUCUGCGGCCUAGUCGGAUCUCUUCCACCAAGCACCCAGAACCAUAUUAAACCUCCCCAGAACAUUAUGCAGGCGGAGGAAAAACAGCUAAUGGAAUAAUCCCCCCGUCCUCGCUUUGGAGCGCAGAAGAUCCACACAAACCCAAAACAAUGCCGGCCGGCGGAAGGCAGAGGACCAAAAAUAAGCCGGUGGGAGGGUUUUGUUUUGCGAAGGAGCUCAUUGGCAGCUGCUUCAUCUGUGAAGUGCUUCGUUUGGAACAUUUAUAGAACUAUGUUUCACCUCGUGAAUAUUCAUGCGAGGAAAGCAGAAUGUUUCUCUGUUUCAGGUAAAGAGCACAUUUUAAAAGUGAUUUUAGGUCCCAAAAGCUGUAAAAAAACAACAACUACAGGACCAACCGGCAGAAGCUCUCUGCUUGGGAGAUAUUUCCCAUAAGACUCAGUAACGACCAAAAAUAGAGAUUAAAGCAGAGUAAAUAUUAAAAAGACGUUCAUCAUAUAUUCAUACUGCUGUCUGCUGGGUACGAAAAACACGCCACAUCAUGUCGACAAGUUUGCCAUCACCACGUCCUCGCUGCCUCGCAGGGAGCUGAAUGAAAGCAGCUUCAGCAUAUUACACGUAUGUAAUGACUCACAAGCAGACGUAAAAAAUACAUUUCAAAUCAUUGCCAUCGGAAAGAUGUGUCAUCGUAAAAUUGAGUUGUUGAGUUGUUGCAUAUAACCUGUUUAACAUAACGUUGGAUAACUCAUCUUAACACUAAUAUGCCGUAAUCUGAACAUUUAUGAGUAAAAUCUUCUUAGUGAGUUGACGAACUAGUUAAAUAGCAACAAGGCCUUUGGGUCGGAGCCCGUCCUUGUGUUUUAUAUUAUAGCUCCGUGUUCAAAGGCCGCUUGCUGCUACAGGAACAGGCUGGUCCACUGUGUGUGUGUGUGUCUGUGUCUGUGUGUGUGUGUGUGUGUGUGUGUGUGUGUGUGUGUGUGUGUGUGUGUGUCACGCUUCGGGCUCAGAAAUGUGACACCUCAAAGAUGAGAGCGUGAAAUAAUCAAACGUGAGGGAAUUUCCUGCUGCUCUAGACGUGUAAAAGUCACAAUUUUCAAGCAUGUCAGAGCUAAAUUAUGAAGAAAUAUCAACAGGAUUUGAACAAAUAACAGAAACGGAUUGGAAGCUGACUUCUAUUGGGACCAAUAUGUCAAACGCUGCUGCUUCAUCUGGGGAGGAAAUAAAACAUCAUAAAUCAUUAAAAGAUUUAUGUCUGGUGCCGUUGUUUCUUUGUAUUUGCACCCAGAAGCAGCAGCAGGCGUUACGACACAUCCGGGUGGUGCAUGUUGAAAUGCUACACACUUCAGUGUGGAGGGUUUGCAUCACAAAGAAAGGACGAGGUGGUGAAGGGUGACGGAGGCCCAACUCAUUAUUAAUGGAGCUUAAGCGGCAGUUCUAGAAGGAAGACCUUUAUGCCACACGUAACGUAGAGACGCUUCAGCUGGUCCCCCAGAACUACCCAACCAGCGGAGAUGUAUGCGACCAACAGAGGCGGCGCUGUGGCUCUAAACCAAUCACAUAGUUGCUGUCAAACCUUUUUCAAAGGGUUCUCUCUGUGUCGCUGUCAGGUGUCAUUUCAGAGUGAAACCGGAUGCGACCCUCCUCCACCCAUCAGGCGCCCCCAGCAGCUGUCAGGCAUUCUUCACUUGUCCUUGGUUUUCAUCAACUCUCUUCUUCACCACCACCACCACCACCAGUGUCUGGACUCCAGGGGGGGAUUCUGCCAAGCAGAACAUCACCGCCCCUUGAUUAUCCCGGUUUAGGAUGGAGUGCAAUCGCCAAAGAUUCUGCACAUUUCAAUAUUAUACAUUAUGUGUAAAGUUUGUCAAUUCGGACGGAGUCUGUCCUGAUUGAAAUAGCCUGAUGUGGAAAUGGAGCUGCGAUGCAGCACCUGCAGCCGGCGCAGAGACGUCCGUCAGGCGCUCACACACCGCGGAGGCGGGACUUAUUUCGGUUAAUCAUUUGAAGCAAUGAUGGCCUCCGCCUUCCUUCCUCUGGGGAGGACCGAGCGGGAAGCUUCGCUUGUGCGAAGGCAUGUUGUCACAAAAGCAUUUUUUAUGUACAGUACGUGCUUGUGUGUUUGUGCGUGUGUGUGUGUGUGUCAGCUUUUAUUGAACGCGUUACUGAAGCGGCGUCCUUAGGUCAACACACACAUGCACACACGCUCACAAUGUAAGUUAGCCGGCGAGAACGAUGUCGUUUUUGUGGUACGCUGAAAAUAACGAGGCUGCUGUUUCCCAUGAUGCCUCACUGGCUGAGCGCCCCCCCCCCCUCGCGGCCAAUCAAGUGGCAGACACCCGCUCAUUAGAGCUUAAGCAGGCAGUCACACAUUGUUGUACGUACACACACACACACACAGUCUGACUUCACCUAAUGCUGAUUUAGCAGCACACACCGUCUGUCAGGAAUGAUUAACCUUUCCAUCAAUCUCAGGUUUCUCCAUUAUUCCAGACACACACACACACACACACACCGGCUCGCACACGGUUAGGUGUGAGCGAGUGCGCCCGCCCACACACACGAACACGUAUGAACAGGUUGUCAUCCUCAAGGUCUUACGCGAUAAGAGGCUCGAUGAAUCUGUUCUCAUAACUAGAGGCGGGAUGUGUUGAGAGGCGUAGGGGCCACGGAGGUCGAGGCCGCGGAUCAAUAAAACAAAAUGAUGUUGUUCUGAUUGUUUCACGGCGAGCACAAAUAAACACACACACACACACACACACACACACACAGCUUAAGAUGCGCUGCAUCGGGCUGCUGGCUGUCUGUGUGUCUGCAGGUCAUAUGGCAUAAUAAUAGAACAAGGUAGAAGUAGCUAGCAGCAGCUAACCGUAGCUAGCAGUAGUUAGCAGUAGCUAGUAGUAGCUAGUAGUAGCUAACAGUAGUUAGCAGUAGGUAGUAGUAGCUAAUAGUAGCUAGUAGUAGCUAACAGUAGUUAGCAG